RNAcentral lists this small RNA (17 nucleotides) under Arabidopsis thaliana (thale cress). RNAcentral's name for it is "ATSL007300". The record is from RNAcentral. Lineage: Eukaryota; Viridiplantae; Streptophyta; Magnoliopsida; Brassicales; Brassicaceae.
AAUUUUAGAUUUUUUAC